RNAcentral lists this unclassified non-coding RNA (379 nucleotides) under soil metagenome. RNAcentral's name for it is "partial contains 5.8S ribosomal RNA, internal transcribed spacer 2, and large subunit ribosomal RNA". The stretch from base 1 to 120 matches the Rfam family "5.8S ribosomal RNA", at positions 35 to 154 of the family's 154-position model. The record is from RNAcentral.
GAUGAAGAACGUAGCGAAAUGCGAUAAGUAAUGUGAAUUGCAGAAUUCAGUGAAUCAUCGAAUCUUUGAACGCACCUUGCACCCUUUGGCAUUCCGAAGGGUAUGCUCGUUUGAGUGUCAUUGUACUCUCACACUUCCAAUUCUUUGGAUUGGGAGCGGUGGACUUGGGUGCUGCUGCUUACCGUGGCUCACCUCAAAUGUGUUAGUGCAACCGUUGGUUAGACAUAGUACAGCGUGAUAAGUAUCUUCGCUGGCGCCUCACUCGAGGGUGGCUGAUCAGGGCUCUGUGCGCCCAAUCGUCUUCGGACAAUCACUGACAACUUGACCUCAAAUCGAGUAGGACUACCCGCUGAACUUAAGCAUAUCAAUAAGCGGAGGA